UUAAGUCAGGCAACAAGCGAGAUCCCUGCCCUUAGUUGCUGCAGUUACUCUCAGGAGUAGCUGGGCUAACUAAGGGGACCGCCACUGCUGAAGUGGAGGAAGGAGGGGGCCACGGCAGGUCAGUAUGCCCCGAAACCCUGGGGCUACACGCGGGCUGCAAUGAUAGAGACAACGGGUUCCGAACUCGAAAGAGGGAGGCAAUCCUUAAACUCUAUCUCAGUUAUGAUUGAGGGCUGCAACUCGCCCUCAUGAAUAUGGAAUCCCUAGUAACCGCGCGUCAUAACCGCGCAGUGAAUACGUCCCUGCUCCUUGCACA
This 316-nucleotide ribosomal RNA is filed under the name uncultured archaeon. RNAcentral's name for it is "bacterial SSU rRNA". It matches the Rfam family "Archaeal small subunit ribosomal RNA", at positions 1029 to 1343 of the family's 1478-position model. The record is from RNAcentral.